UACGGGGGGGGCAAGCGUUGUUCGGAAUUACUGGGCGUAAAGGGCUCGUAGGCGGCCAACUAAGUCAGACGUGAAAUCCCUCGGCUUAACCGGGGAACUGCAUCUGAUACUGGAUGGCUUGAGAUUGGGAGAGGGAUGCGGAAUUCCAGGUGUAGCGGUGAAAUGCGUAGAUAUCUGGAGGAACACCGGUGGCGAAGGCGGCAUCCUGGACCGGUAUUGACGCUGAGGCGCGAAAGCCAGGGGAGCAAACGGG
This 253-nucleotide ribosomal RNA is filed under the name uncultured bacterium. RNAcentral's name for it is "partial 16S ribosomal RNA". It matches the Rfam family "Bacterial small subunit ribosomal RNA", at positions 524 to 776 of the family's 1533-position model. The record is from RNAcentral.